UCGACUGUACUCGAACAGGAUCACUUAUGUAGUGAUUUCCUUUCGUUCACAAGAGUACUCUUGACAAAACCCUAAACCGUGAUGAUGAUACGUAUACCGCAUCCACUCGGAGGUUUAGUCCACUCCACUGAUGUGGUAGUGCGACUUCGAUGAGUUCAUCUCCUCAAAAGGGGGAUGUGGGUGACGGUAAUACUGAGCGGUU
This is a non-coding RNA of Perkinsus marinus ATCC 50983, 202 nucleotides long. NCBI's taxonomy places the organism in Eukaryota, Perkinsozoa, Perkinsida, Perkinsidae. The record is from Rfam.